UCGAGGUGGUUGCCGGCAAACUAGUUCAGCUAUCACCGCUGUUUCGUUUUCUUAGUUUGGUUGGGUCCUGAUGAUUGUGUGUCGCAUAAGUGUUGCUGUGACUGCUGUGCCGUUCCUUUUCUUUCUGAAUUAGUAUCCGAGCUUAUAUAUGUGGCGUUGAGGCUGUUUCUGCUAUUGAGAAAAAUAAGCGGAGCUAGAAUGUUGGUUGUUGGUUUCGGGCCGAGACGAAAGGCUUUCCUGUGACGCGUUUGGUUCAUGUAUUCGACGAGCCAAGGAUAUAGAAGACGAAGCUUCAGGAGAGUUAUGU
Arachis ipaensis is the source of this 307-nucleotide non-coding RNA. Lineage: Eukaryota; Viridiplantae; Streptophyta; Magnoliopsida; Fabales; Fabaceae. The record is from RefSeq and is a predicted model, not a curated record.